GCGGUAGUCAUAUAACGGUAUUAUGCACGCUUCCCAAGCCUGACAAGCGGGUUCGACUCCCGUAUACCGCU
This 71-nucleotide transfer RNA is filed under the name Treponema sp. Its description in RNAcentral is "tRNA-Gly". It matches the Rfam family "tRNA". From Rfam's summary of the family: Transfer RNA (tRNA) molecules are approximately 80 nucleotides in length. Their secondary structure includes four short double-helical elements and three loops (D, anti-codon, and T loops). Lineage: Bacteria; Pseudomonadati; Spirochaetota; Spirochaetia; Treponematales; Treponemataceae. The record is from RNAcentral.